Molecule: transfer RNA, 76 nt
Filed under: Bacteroidetes bacterium GWA2_31_9
Lineage: Bacteria; Pseudomonadati; Bacteroidota
Description: tRNA-Ser
Rfam family: tRNA
About the family: Transfer RNA (tRNA) molecules are approximately 80 nucleotides in length. Their secondary structure includes four short double-helical elements and three loops (D, anti-codon, and T loops).
Source: RNAcentral
CGGGGUGUGGCACAGUUGGCUAGCGUAUCCCGACUUGAAGUCGGGAUGGUCGGAAGUUCGAGUCUUCUCACCACUA